Molecule: long non-coding RNA, 10640 nt
Filed under: Theobroma cacao (cacao)
Lineage: Eukaryota; Viridiplantae; Streptophyta; Magnoliopsida; Malvales; Malvaceae
Description: long non-coding RNA (TCAC_LNC000738)
Source: RNAcentral
CAAUUUGAUAUAUCACUAUCAAAACCUGAAUUCCUUAUGAAAGACGAGAAGAAAUUUCCUGCUAUAAGAUAUGCUGUACCAGUUAUUCUUGCUCUAGCUUACCCCAAAUAAAUGGAAAAGUUACUCCUACAUAGACUUUGAGAAGCUUCUAUCUGAAUUUGGGUGGUGUUAAAAAUUUCUGAUAAUCAGAAUCAUAUAAAGCAUACACAAAAUACAAAGAUUAAAAACACCCAAUUAUAAAAUUAGGACGUUAGUAUUUUGACAAUGCAACAUCGUCUUUUCAAUUAUUUACCUGAGGUACAUGAAUAUGUCGAGAACUUUGUGCUGCCGCAGCCCUGGCUUGUGCAAGCCUAUCCUGCAACUCCAGAGAACAAUCAAUAUCCUCCACAACCAGUAUUGAUUUAUUCCCAGUUGAAAUCACCAACUUCCUGAGCUCUGAAUUCCCUCUGAUUUCAGUCAACUCCAAGUCAUAAAUAUCAAAAUUAAGAUAAUUGGCCAUGGCAGCAAUCAAGCUUGAUUUCCCUGUGCCAGGAGGACCAAACAACAAGUACCCCCUUUUCCAAGCCUUGCCUACCCUCUUGUAAUACUCCUUUCUUUUCACAAAUCUCUCCAAAUCCUCGACUAUUUUCUGCUUCAUCUCUGAAUCCAUUGCCAGGGUUUGAAAAGUAGCCGGAUGAUCAAGAUUCACUGACUGCCACAUAUCCCCUCUCCUUCCAGGCAUCCUCUCGUACUUCAAGGUAAAUAAUUUCAAGGUCUUCUUUUUCUCCUUCAUUUCUUUUGCUUUGGCCAAUAUAUGCUGCAUAUAUUCGUUCAAGAUCAUUUCUUUAUGUUUCUUAUGGAAACUUAGCUCGAAGAACCGAAUCUCGGAUUUAACCACGGGGUUGUAAGGAUCAGAUCUUUGAAUACACUUGGAAGGAAUAUCUUUUGAAACAAACCUCCACUUCACUUGAACUCCAUUAAACUUAUCAAUGACUUCUUGAUUCUUUUCAAGGGACAAUGAAAUCUUUCCUUCUUUUCUUGGCAUGGUUACUCUAAUUCUCUUCGUGUCAGGAGGGAUUGUGGGCUCAAGAUAGAGCUCUGCAGCCUUGUAAAGAAGGUUAUGAUUGAGAUUAUUAUAUUCUUCGAUGACUAACGUGAGCUCUGAAGACAAAGAGGCAAGGAGAUUCUUGAUUUUCAAGAAAAUGAAGUCUCGCAGCUCGUGAGGAACGAAUUCUCUGACGACGGAGCGCACCAGCAUGGCAGUGGCGGCAACUGAUGCAGCAGCUGAGAAGAUGACCUUGGCUGAGGGACCUUGGUAGGUGCCAUUGAAAAAUGAGGUGUGUAUUGGCACCGAAGGCAUUUUGUUAAUUCUUAGGAAAUUGAAUAAAAAGAAGAACUGAAAAAAACAAAGAGAGAGGAAGGUUUGCCGAAUCUUUAAGAGUAAAAAGAAAGAAGCUCUGGGUAUUGAUAUGCUAUCAAUAUAAACAUGAAGAAAUGGUGUUGUGACAACGUUAGUAGGAAGCAAAGAGUGGAAAUAGUAGGAGAAAACCUUCCCUGUUCUGAUGAGGACAGGUGAGUCAAACGAUACCGUUUUUGGCUCUUCUAUUGGAUAAACUUUCGCGACUAUCAACAGCAUCAUUGACUUGCAUUGCUCACCAAAUAAAAGGUUCAAAUUAAUCAGUCAAUCCAGGAAGCGAUAUUGAUGUUCACGCUCCAAUGUUUGUUCAGAAAAAAAGUAAUUAGCGCGUGGCAACUCGUACUAGCUUUUCACAGUUGUUUUAUAAACUUCUCAUCACUUUCCUUACUUCCCUUUCCCACUCUUAACUUUGUUUAGAAUAAAAUAAUAUUUUAAUUAAUUGUGUGGAAAUUCUUAACUCCUUAUUGCCUGUUCACACUCUCCACUAAUAACUUAACAUUGUAAUUUUUAAAAUUACAAUCACUUAAAUACUUCUUUCUAUUAAAAUUAAAUUUUAAUUAAAUAUAUUAAUAUUUGUCUAUUCACACUCCACAAUAUUAAUUAUUUAUAUUUUUGCUUACAAUUUUUUAUUAUAAUCGCAACUUAAUAGAAAGAAGGUAAGAAACUCAUAGUCCAACAUGUAAAUUUGUAUAGCAAACUGGUGGAAAUAAUUUUAGAGAAAAAAAAUACAAAUAUAUUAUACAUUCAGCAAUAAAUAAACCCAUUUAAUUGGUUAACCAAUUCUAGAACAAAGAAGGAUAUAUCAAGCUUAAUUCAAUUAAUUUAUAUUCAAUCCCAAACGUAAUCAGCUGUUUUGUCAACAAACAAUAUUAUGAUUAAACUCAUAUUUAAAACAACUAGACAUACAGAAUUUACUCUAUUAAGUUAUUAGGAGAUGCUAAUCACUUUAACAAUGCGAGGUAUUAAGAUUUAAGAGACUUCCACUUGCACCAAACCUAUCAUCUAAACUUGCUCAUGAUAAUCUAGGCCAAUUUUCUUUAUUUAAACAUUCAUGAUAAUCUUUUUUAUUUUCUUUUUAUUCUAUCAAUUUUCUACUCCAAUUUAAACUUUGUGCGUCUCAAUUAAAACAAAUACGAAACAACUAUCUAAACAAAUAAAUUUGAAAAAAAAUUUAUGUUGAGUAGAAUUUCUAAAAUAAAAAAAUCUAACUCUAAUUCCAAGCUAUUUUGUCAUUAGGACAAGAGAUUUCAUUGAUUCAAUUCCUUAAUUUUAGAUGGUAUGUAAACAAAAGGUGAGAGUAAUUGAUAUUAAAUAGAAGUGUGGAUAGAUAAAUAGUAAUAUACUUAAUUAAAAUUUGACCUAAAUAACAAAUUAUUUAGUGAGGGUAAUUUAAAAAAUUUACAAUGAUAAGUUGUUAGAGGAGAGCGUUAAUAGACAAUUAAGAGUGCCAAUAGCCCCACCCUUAAUCUAAUUGAGAUUUAUUUUUUUAUUCAAUAUAUUAAAAAAAGAUGAUUCGAAUCUUAUUUUUUAAAUGAAAGUAUGUGUAUUUGUUAUUGAAGUUUUAAUUAAUUAUUGAUAAUGACAAUUUUUACUUUUUUUAUGUUAUGUAUAAUAUAUAUGAAAAAGAGACAGAUCACAUUAGCAUAUAUUCAAGUCAAUUUUAUUUGAUCUAACGUUUUAAAAAGCUUUUAUUAAAAAAAAUUUAAAUAAAUAAUUAUUCUUUUAUUACGUUCAAUUCAAAUCAAUUAAUAGUUAUCUAACUGUUAUUAGUCAAAAUAUAACUUAUCAUUUUUAUAUUACGUGACGUUAGCACGAAGUGUGACAAUAUCAUAUAACCAUGUCACUAUCCAUUAUGCUUGGUGAAUAUGCAAGUGACAUAAAAAAUGAUAAAGUAGUGUUUAAUUAACAACAUUUUUGUUGCACCUCUUUUAAAAUUUUGGGAUCGAGUGGGUUACUCUUUGGGCCUGAUCAGGCCAAUAGAGUUUUUAAAAGGAAAAAGUUUUUUUCUUUUGAACUUUUUUAUCAACUGAAUAUUUAGCUCUGUCAUAUUUGAUUGUUUCCUUAUAUAAACCCACUUCCAAGUCGUAACAUGUUCAACUGCAAGUUUCUUUGGAGUAAAUGAAUUUCACAAUACGAUACAAAACAUGCUCUGCUGUGCAUUGCAAGGAUUAUAAAUUAGUUUAUUUAUGAUUUAUCACAAGCUUGAAUUUUCAGCUUCUUCAGUUUUCUUUGCUCGGAGGAAGUCAAUUAGGCCUUGCAGUGCAGCUUCAGGAUCCUCAUUCUCUAGUAACUGCUCACCAACUUCUGCAGGGGUCACGGAUAUUUCAUCCAGGAGCUCUCUGGCUGUGGAGAUCAGAGGGUGAUCAGUUAUUCCAACAUAAUUGGCUGCUAAAGUGUUGAAACCACAAGGGCUGCAGUGUGACAUAUGGAUAUGAACAUCCAUGCGGCCUGGGCGUAACAGAGCUGGGUCUAAUCGGUCUUUGUGAUUAGUCGUGAACACGAUGAUCCUCUCAUCUCCACAGCUUGACCAAAGCCCAUCGAUGAAAUUGAGCAAUCCUGAUAGUGUAACCUAUGGAAUUAAUAAUAAUAAUAAAAAAAGGGGGCAAUUCAAAAGCCUUAAGAAACAGUAUAGAGAUAGGAUCAGGAAGAAGUUGAAAUGUCCUUACUUGACUUACUCUGUUAGUCCUGAAAGCAGUAACAGGUCGUGGUUCAGCUUGUCGUUCUUGCAACUCAAGACUGCAAUCAAUAUCCUCAACCACAAGUAUUGAUCGGUUUCCAGUGGCGAUCAGUAUUCUCCUCAGAUCAGAGUUGGUUUGAAUAUCGGUGAGUUCUAAGUCAUAAAUGUCAAAGUUUAAAUAAUUUGCCAUUGCAGCAAUCAAACUUGAUUUUCCUGUACCAGGAGGACCAUAUAACAAAUAUCCACGUUUCCAUGCCUUCCCUACUCUUCUGUAAUAUUCUUUCCUCUUUAGAAAUCUCUCAAGGUCUUCCAUUAUCAUGGUCUUGAGCUCUGUAUUCAUCGCCAGUGUUUCAAAUUUUGCAGGAUGAUCAAGGAUUAUUGGUUGCCAUACUCCGCCUCCAUGCCUCCGCAUAUAGUCGUACAAAGUGUAGAGCUUUAAGGUUUUCUUCUCUUCUGUUAAACAACUUGAUUCUUUUAAUAUAAAAGGCAAGUAGGAGUUUAAAACCUUAUCCUUGUGUUUCUUGUGGAAAGUAAGCUCAAAAGAUCGAAUUUCGGAUCGGACCUUGUAAGUAUGACCUUGAGCUGCCAUGUGAUUGGAGUCAACUUGUCUGGUAACCUGCCUCCAUUUAAAUUGAACCCCAUCAAAAGUAUCCAUCGUUUCUUGGUUGUUCGCCAUGGAAACAGCAAAGUUUAUCUCCUUUUCUGGCAUGCUUACUUUAUAAAGUUUGGUAGAGGGAGAGAUUUUGUUUCCUAAAUAGAUUUCUGCAGCCCUGUAGAUCUGGUUGCCUGUUAAACCAUCAAAUUCGUCGAUGACUAAGGUUAUCUGAAAGGAAAACGAUUUGAAAAAGCCCUUUAUAUAUUUGAACAUAUAAGCUUGAAGUUCAGAUGGUAACAAGUUGCGGGCUACGGUCUGAAUAACCAUUGCUGAAGCAGCGAUAGAAGCUGCUGUUGACACAACUGUUUGGGCAGAGGGCAUGUUGUUUUUGGAAAACAUGUUGGUGACCAGAAUUUGGAAUCGGUGAAGAGGAUCUGAAGAGAUUUCAGGGUAACCUGUGUUCUAGUUUCUUGUUUUGCCUUUAUGAUCGCUUAAAUACAUUUCACCCAGCCAAAAAGAAUUGAUUACUUCUGUACUUCUGGUUGAUGACAACAAGAGCUUUGGCAUUGGGAAAAUUUUUGUCGGUUUAGUAGAAGAGCCGUCUUCGAUUCUUCCCAAGAUUAUUCUUUGUCUCUAUCUACUUGGUUUCAUGCAAACAAACGAAAACGUCGUUCUUGUACACAUUGCAGAACAAUACAAAAUAAAUCUUAAAGUUUUAACAUGAUCAAGGAAGUUGAUAAUGGAAUUUGAUUGCAGCCAAUUGGUUCUCACGCCUAUCAUUUGAGCUGAGCCCAUUCCUAUGAUUUGAAUUUUAUAAAAGUUGCAGAAUUACGAUGGUGGUACAUUAGCAUCUUUCCCUCUCCAAGUACUUCGCUUAUCUUCUUGGCAAAUCUCUCAAACAGAUCAUCCAUGUUCAGGCCAGUGAAAUGAUUUUCCAGAAGGGAUUCUGCAACUGCUCUUAUAGUCCUGGCGACAUUUUUGCCUUUCAUACCAUUUUGGCUCUUAGAAUCCCAAUCUAUUUUAUAAGUUUCAAGUCGCUGGAUCUGAAACGACCCUUCAGUUUGAAUUACGUGCCUCACUUCUUUUGGGGUAGGUGCAUAAUAAGGAAGAUUGAUGUGGUCCAGUUUUGCCUCUUCAAUCAAUCCCUGGAUUAAGGUCAUUACAAAUGAACAUGAGAAAUGGCAGCAGUUACUCAAGCAGACUGCAAGCAAUGAACAGAAAAGGAAUUUGUUGAAAAUGAAGGGCACACAUUUCAUUAAGCAUCAGCCGUGUAUAUAGAGAACCGGUUGAUGAGAGAUAAAAGCUUUUUACAAGAACCAGCUAUACAAACACUCGAGCUGGUAUUCCUAUAUUCCAGGUGCAUAGGGAUCUGUAAUAGAUACCCUGACACAAUAACAGACACUGAGCCAUUGGAAACGGCCUAAUUUGAAGAUAAAAACAAUAAAAUCCCUAACAUUUGGGAAAUAGUAAAUUCAGUGUCAUCAGGAUCAUAAUCAGGUUCAUAAAUGACUUCUGGCAGUGACCCUGAACCAAGUAUUCUGUUAUUAGUUGUCUCAACCAGGUUAGACUCCCAAUUCCACUUUGCAUUUUCAUCAAACUUUAUGUUUCUGGCCACUUGAACCUUUUUAGACUUCCGAGACUAAAUACUCUGUAUCCUUUUGCUUGUAAACUGUAUCCGAAGAACACUCCUACCUCAGCCCUUGGUUCCAAUUUAGACCUUUUUGCCUCAAGCGCAUGAAUGUAGAAGAUGUUACCGAAUAUUCUAAGAUGAUCCACUGCUGGUUUGACAUGGUGCCAAGCUUCAUAGGGUGUCAUUUUGUUCAAUGCCCUUUUUGGAAGUAUGUUUUGCAGGUAAACGACAGUAUUGGUAGCUUCUGCCUAAAAAUGCUUAAGCAUUGAUUUUUCAAAUAACAAGCAUUUAGCCAUGUUUAACACUGUCAUAUUCUUCCUUUCACAUGUUCCAUUUUGUUAGAGAGAAUAGAAGAUGGUAAACUGAUGCCUAAUGCCUACAGCAGCGAAGAACUCAUCAAACUCAACAGAUGAAUACUCUCCACAAUUGUUUUUUCUGAGAUUCUUAAUUUUGCACCCUGAUUCAAGUUCGACAUGCUUUGAACUUCUUAAAAACAGAAAACACAUCAGAUUUAACCUUGAUGAAAUAAAUUCAAGUCAUCCUAGUGUAGUCAUCAAUGAACAACACAAAAUACUUACUACCAUUAAGUAAUUCAACACUCAUUGGACCACGAGCAUCAGAAUGCACAAAUUCAAGCUUUUCUACUGUUCUCUUGGUGCUUUUCAAAGGAAAUGGGAGCCUUGUUUGUUUCCCCAAUUGACAAACUUCACAGAUUUCUGAAUGAACAAGUAUAAGCGGCAUUUUUGUCACUAACUUAUCAGAAUUUAAUAAUGUCAUUGUUGAGUAGUUGCAAUGUCCAAACCUUCUAUGCCAUAGCUUGGACACAUCAUAAUCAACCUUCUCAACUGCAUUCAAACCUACAUGAUGCCAACCUAGUGGAACACAUUUAUUCUUCAUACUAACAGUCAUCAAUACACUGUCAUUAGGCUCAGUUAUAAUGCAUGCUUUGUUCUUGAACAGCAAGGUAUAAUUAUUCUCAAGCAUUUGAGCAACAUUAAGUAAAUUUUGACAUGCUUGAGGCACUAGGAACACAUUUUGAACAUACCCGGUUCCAUUUGGUGUAGUGACAGCAACAGUACCUUUGCCUACUGCCUGUAGGUACUUUUCCAUCUCCAAUCUCAAUAUUUGCACUCUUGUUCCUAUCAAUGGAGGUGAACAAGGAUGUGUUUGGAGUUAUUUGACUAAAGCAUGCCCUGCCAAUUAACCAUGUUUCACUAGACUUUGUCAUAUUGCCUUCUGAAGCCGUGAAAAGCAACUCCUCAGCAGGUUCAACUUCUUCUGAAACUUGAGCUUGCUAAUUUUGCACAUUUCCCUUGUUCUUGCAUACUUUUUUCACAUGGCCAAGCUGAUUACACUUUUUGCACUUAACAUUUGGAGUAAACCAAAAAUAUUUUUCAGCAUGGUUAGUCUUUUUACAGUAAGAACACACUACAUUUUUGGUUUUCUUAACCUGUUGCCUCUGAUUUGAAGUAGCAGUUUUCUCUUUGUCUUUCUUUUCACUUGGAGACUUUCUAUUUGAGUGGUGAAGAACAAUUUUCUCUUUAAGCCUUGCUUGCAAAGCUAUCUUUGUCCUUUCUUCAAGACUGAUCUGCCUUCUUACUUCAAAAGCUUGAAAAGCAUUAACUAACUCUUGUAAUGUCAUCAUAGUGAGGUCUUUUGAUUCCUCAAGAGCUGCAACUUUUGACUUAAAUGUCUUAGGAAUACUAACUAGCAUCUUUUUCACAAUUCUUGGAUUUGACAACUCAGCUCCCAAAAGUCUCACUUGAUUGACAAUCUUCAUUAGCUUGUCCACAUAGUCCUUCACUGUCUCAUCCUCCGUCGUCUUCAACACUUUAAAUUGUCUUAUUAAGUUCAGAACUUGCAUCUUUCUAGUUCUGUCUGACCCUUGGCACCCCUUCUUGAACUUAUCCCAAGCUUUCUUAGCUAUUUCACAAGGCAUGAUUCUUGUGUAUAUUGUAUCUGUCACAGUAGUGUGAAUGUAAGACAACCGUAUAUCUCUUGGCCACUUUUUAACUAUGCUGUCUCAUUUGAUUUAUGGUGGGGUUGGUUCUCAGCUCAGGAGGCUUUCCUCGUUCAACUACCUCCUAAAGAUCGAAAGCUUUAAGAAAGGUUUUCAUUUUAACUACCCAAACAUUAUAAUUUUCACCAAUGAAAGUGGUGGUGAAAGGGAUGAAGUGCUACCACUUGAAGCCAUGUUUUGAUGAAGUGAGGGUUGCUUAGUUUUUUUGUGAAGGUUGUAAAGGUUUGCUAAUAGGCCUCUAAUACCAUUGAAGCUAUGAUACAAUGUUGAGUUUUUUAGAGGCUUCUUCUGGUAUAUACUGAAUGCAAAGCAGUUAAUAUGUAUGCAGCAAAGGGUAAGAGAAAACACUCUGCUGUAACAAAGGUUAUAUGAUGAAGAGAUGCUGCAACAAUGUGAGUUGUGCAACUGAUAUUCAUUAACAUGUUGAUAUAUAUUACAAACUUGCUAAGCAAGCUGUGAACAGUGAUAAUACAAUUGAUAACUAGCUAAAACAUUACUUAAUCAGUCACUAGGAGCAUUACUUAGUCAUUAGGAGCAUAGGCAUCAUAAUUAAUUUUGACAAUGAAGUGGCUCUCACAACACAAAACAUCAUGGUAGAAACCAUUGAUUAAUAGCAAGCACCAUGGAAGUUCUAAUUCAUGUGAAAGCAAAUUUUGGUUUGCCAAUUUAAUAGUUUACUGUUCUUAUGAAAACUGAUAAAUUUUUUUUACCUUAAAUGCGGUCAAAACCAGCUUUCAGUUGAAAUUUGAUGCUUUUUAAUGAUCAAGCUAGGACGUUUCCGGUUCAAAAAUUACCGCUUUGCUGAAGCUCUUGGUGGUGUUAACAGAUGAUUAUCCGAACCAAAGAAUUAAAGACGCUGGAGAAAAAUGAAACAUGAAUUCUACAAAAUGGUUUAGGCUCUAUGGAAGUUUACAAGUUACACGUGAGGAUCAGAUGUAACUCCACAGAAGAUAAAUAGUGCAUAGGGCAAUAUCCAAGUUCCUGUGUUCAUAGCAUUAACAACUUUCAUUUAUCAUCCAAUUAAAAGAAACAUAAAACUUUGAUAAAGGUUGAAAUCAGCAAUGGCGAAUUCGCUAAUAUUUUUUUGGGUUUGGUCUCAUUGUGACGUGAGAAGAUGAUACUCAAUUCUGUCAUUACUUGUCACAAUGAACUUAAUGCUCCCUAACAUCUGCCGCAGAUCAUUGUUUUUUUAAGUCAAUAUUUCUGCUACCAAAAUAAACUUUCAAAGAUGCUCAAAAAUAUGAAAUUGAUCGACUUAAUUGAGUUGUUACACUUGCAUAGUAGGAUGAUUUCAUGCCAUCAUUUCUGCAUUCCCCAGAAAACAAAGUAACUAAGACAUUACUUGGUAUUUGUUAGGCUAUUUUUAUCUCUCUCUUCAGAGUCAUAAUCCUCUUCUCCCAGAAAACUACAGCGAUUUACUGAAUCAUUAGUGUUUGUUGGUUCCCUCUAUCUUCCUGUUUCUUGCUCUUACCUUGUUUGUCUUCUAGCUUGUCCCCGACUUCUGCUGCUUGCGCUACUCUUGAUUGUGAUUCACCAGCUUCAGCUUCAGCUUCACGACCUUCUUCCAGCUUGGCCUCAAGAAACUCGAUUAGACCUGGUAGCACAAUUUCAGGCACCUCGUCUUUCAUCAGCUGCUCACCUACUUCUGCAGGGGUCACCUUCGAUAUCUCUAGCAAUUCCUCAAUCUCUAAGAAGAGCGGGUGCUCUGGAAUCCCGAGGUAAUUGGAAGCCAGCAUUUUGAACCCACAUGGAGUGCAGUAGGACAUGUGGAUGUGCAUAUCCAUUCGACCAGGGCGCAGCAAAGCUGGGUCAAGCCGUUCCUUGUGAUUGGUUGUGAACACUAUAAUCCUUUCAUCCCCACAGCUUGACCAUAACCCAUCUAUGAAGUUCAGCAAUCCUGACAGUGUCAACUGAUACUGAUAGAAAGCAAACUGUGAAUCUGUAGGUUCCAUUAUAUUCAUGUCCAUUCUCAAUGCAAAAAAAACACACAGCAACACAGUGUAUGAUGAUAUCUCAUUAUCCAAACACGUAUUCAUAAUUCAUUGCAAUUUGAUAUGUCACUAUCAAAACCUGAAUUCCUUAUGAAAGACGAGAAGAAAUUUCCUGCUAUAAGAUAUGCUGUACCAGUUAUUCUUGCUCUAGCUUACCCCAAAUUAAUGGAAAAGUUACUCCUACAUAGACUUUGAGAAGCUUCUAUCUGAAUUUGGGUGGUGUUAAAAAUUUCUGAUAAUCAGAAUCAUAUAAAGCAUACACAAAAUACAACGAAUAAAAACACCCAAUUAUAAAAUCAGGACGUUAGUAUUUUGACAAUGCAACAUCGUC